UACGGAGGGAGCUAGCGUUGUUCGGAAUUACUGGGCGUAAAGCGCGCGUAGGCGGCUUUGUAAGUUAGAGGUGAAAGCCCGGAGCUCAACUCCGGAACUGCCUUUAAGACUGCAUCGCUUGAAUCCGGGAGAGGUGAGUGGAAUUCCGAGUGUAGAGGUGAAAUUCGUAGAUAUUCGGAAGAACACCAGUGGCGAAGGCGGCCCGCUGGGCAGGAAGGCUCGCAAGAGCCGGCUGACGCUGAGGCGCGACAGCGUGGGGAGCAAACAGG
RNAcentral lists this ribosomal RNA (269 nucleotides) under uncultured bacterium. RNAcentral describes it as "partial 16S ribosomal RNA". It matches the Rfam family "Bacterial small subunit ribosomal RNA", at positions 524 to 776 of the family's 1533-position model. The record is from RNAcentral.